GACAGAGGGUGCAAACGUUGUUCGGAAUUACUGGGCGUAAAGCGGGUGUAGGCGGUUCGGUAAGUCGGAUGUGAAAUCCCAUGGCUCAACCAUGGAAGUGCACCCGAAACUGCGUAGCUAGAGUCUCGGAGAGGAAGGCGGAAUGCUUGGUGUAGAGGUGAAAUUCGUAGAUAUCAAGCGGAACACCGGUGGCGAAGGCGGCCUUCUGGACGAUGACUGACGCUGAGACGCGAAAGCGUGGGGAGCAAACAGG
This 253-nucleotide ribosomal RNA is filed under the name uncultured bacterium. RNAcentral's name for it is "partial 16S ribosomal RNA". It matches the Rfam family "Bacterial small subunit ribosomal RNA", at positions 524 to 776 of the family's 1533-position model. The record is from RNAcentral.